CGAACGGGUGAGUAACGCGUGAGCAACCUACCUUAGUUACUGGGAUAGCCCGAGGAAACUCGGAUUAAUACCGGAUAUUCUUAUUUAAUCACAUGAUUUUUUAAGGAAAGGUCAGCCGAACUAAGAUGGGCUCGCGUUCUAUCAGCUAGUUGGUAGGGUAAUGGCCUACCAAGGCUACGACGGAUAGCUGGUCUGAGAGGACGAUCAGCCACACUGGGACUGAGACACGGCCCAGACUCCUACGGGAGGCUGCAGCAGGGAAUAUUGCGCAAUGAGCGAAAGCUUGACGCAGCGACACCGCGUGUGGGAUGACGGAUCUAGGUUUGUAAACCACUUUCAGGAGGGAAGAAAAUGACGGUACCUCCACAAGAAGCCCCGGCCAACUACGUGCCAGCAGCCGCGGUAAUACGUAGGGGGCGAGCGUUGUCCGGAUUUAUUGGGCGUAAAGAGCUCGUAGGCGGUUCAACAAGUCGGUCGUGAAAGUUCAGGGCUCAACCCUGAAAUGUCGAUCGAUACUGUUGUGACUAGGAUACGGUAGAGGUGAGUGGAAUUCCGAGUGUAGCGGUGAAAUGCGUAGAUAUUCGGAGGAACACCAAUUGCGAAGGCAGCUCACUGGGCCGCUAUCGACGCUGAGGAGCGAAAGCUAGGGGAGCAAACAGGAUUAGAUACCCUGGUAGUCCUAGCUGUAAACGAUGGAUAC
RNAcentral lists this ribosomal RNA (700 nucleotides) under uncultured bacterium. RNAcentral's name for it is "bacterial SSU rRNA". It matches the Rfam family "Bacterial small subunit ribosomal RNA", at positions 99 to 816 of the family's 1533-position model. The record is from RNAcentral.